This 214-nucleotide long non-coding RNA is filed under the name Carica papaya (papaya). RNAcentral's name for it is "long non-coding RNA (CPAP_LNC007216)". Lineage: Eukaryota; Viridiplantae; Streptophyta; Magnoliopsida; Brassicales; Caricaceae. The record is from RNAcentral.
UCAUUUAAAUAAACGAUAAUAGUAAACUUACCUUCUUACCAGUAUCUUUAGGGGUUCAUAGGGAUCUCCCAUACCCGUGGACUCAAUAUUUAAUUUAUCAUUUAACCGGCCGUUCCCAUACCCCCAUCUAGCAAUGGGCACUAAACAUAUCAUUGCCUCAAUACUCCGUCUGGUAUGAAGGUGAACUAUACCUCUCAACCCCUUCCGGUAUAGG